RNAcentral lists this long non-coding RNA (351 nucleotides) under Chlamydomonas reinhardtii. RNAcentral describes it as "long non-coding RNA (CREI_LNC000479)". The record is from RNAcentral. Lineage: Eukaryota; Viridiplantae; Chlorophyta; Chlorophyceae; Chlamydomonadales; Chlamydomonadaceae.
GACGAGGUCGACCGGCGAGCAGGCGCGCCACCCACGCUAGGUCGCGAAGGCUCCACGGUGUGAAGUCAUGAUGUUCGGCAAAGAGUGCCAGAGCGGGGGCCGCUCGGCAGGACGGCGACGAUGAUGUCGCCGACUGAGUGGCGCGCCGCAGCCAGAGCAGCACUGACGCACUACAGCUGACCUAAGCAACGCCAGGGACGCCAUGGAGGCGCCACAGGGGAUGGGCGCGGCCACAAAGGCCGGCCAGGAACUACUACCGACAAGGAGGGUCAGGGCGCCGAGGCGCCCUAACGCAACCAAGCGGAGUAGAACCGUGGCAUCGUUAGCGAAUUUGGGGGAGGGGGGUUGUCU